GAUGAACGCUAGCUACAGGCUUAACACAUGCAAGUCGAGGGGAAACGACAUCGAAAGCUUGCUUUUGAUGGGCGUCGACCGGCGCACGGGUGAGUAACGCGUAUCCAACCUGCCCACCACUUGGGGAUAACCUUGCGAAAGUAAGACUAAUACCCAAUGACGUCUCUAGAAGGCAUCUGAAAGGGAUUAAAGAUUUAUCGGUGAUGGAUGGGGAUGCGUCUGAUUAGCUUGUUGGCGGGGUAACGGCCCACCAAGGCAACGAUCAGUAGGGGUUCUGAGAGGAAGGUCCCCCACAUUGGAACUGAGACACGGUCCAAACUCCUACGGGAGGCAGCAGUGAGGAAUAUUGGUCAAUGGGCGAGAGCCUGAACCAGCCAAGUAGCGUGCAGGACGACGGCCCUAUGGGUUGUAAACUGCUUUUAUAAGGGAAUAAAGUGAGUCUCGUGAGACUUUUUGCAUGUACUUUAUGAAUAAGGACCGGCUAAUUCCGUG
Molecule: ribosomal RNA, 492 nt
Filed under: uncultured bacterium
Lineage: Bacteria
Description: bacterial SSU rRNA
Rfam family: Bacterial small subunit ribosomal RNA
Source: RNAcentral